CGAGGACAAUGCACUUUCGGCGAGCCUCGGUGGUUUCCUUGGUGGCGUUGGUACGCUCAAAUUUUGUCGGCUCGAGGAGAUGGUUACGUCACACCUGGCGCUUGCAUGAUCAUCGGAACGUUUGCUCCUGCGGGGAUAAGACACUUCGAUAUUGACCUGCGUUCCCGAUUGGAGGAGAAAGACUCUUGGUCGGUGUCGCCGAAGAAUCGUAGAUUUUUCUGAACGGAGACGCGUUCGGGUGCCGAGGAAGCUUCUUCGUCUUCGGUGCCAGUAGUCAAGAUUUCGCUCUCAGGGAUUCUCGGUUUUUUAUCGACGGGCUGUAAGCGUCAAAGAGGAAAAAUCAGAAGGUCGACUCCACAAUACAAGUCCUCAUUAAAAUAUAAUUAGCGAGGGCCACUUUGCAGAUAAAGUUCUUCACAAUGAAUCCCCAUCGAAGUGGGAUUCGCGAGAUGCAUGUCACAUCUCUCUGCAAAUACGAAGUAAAAAUAAAGCCUCGAGAACAACGAGCAGAAAGCAGUUGAAAAUAUCGAAAGACCAAAAAGAUAGCGAGAGGCAACGAGAGGAAGGGAGGCAAGGAGUACAAUAAAAAAGGAUGAUGCGAGUCUAAAAUUAUCGUGCUGGCGAGAACAUUACAGCAAAUUUCGCGUUCCCGGUAGGCGUUCGCGCGAGCAGAACGCGAGUCCAUUAUCUCUAUAAAGAGUGUGUACAUACGUAUACAUAAAAUAAUAUUAUAUACUUUAUACAUCCACACAGAUAAGAACAUUCACAUGUGUUAUUGUCCGUCUAUAUUUACACGUAUACGUAUGUAGACACAUUGGAAAGAGUUGAUCGCUUGCGGUCCAGUUAAUCCGAUGUAAGGCAGCUCGUUGUUCUUCAAGGGACAAACAAAAAGAAUGCCGAGGAUCCCAGCUCUGCCCUGGGGAUGUUGGAUUAAUGCCUAUGCCUCGCUCCUUCAAACAUGUGUGUGUGUGUGUAUGUUGUUUAAAGGAGGGACAGAAGAGGGAUAAAAUGGGAGCGAGAGGGAAAACCAAAAAGAGAGAAACGAAGAAGAAAGAAAGAGAGAGAGAGAGACGAUGCUGUUUCACGAUCACUCCACGGGAUAGCUCUAUACUUCUCGUUGUGUAUAACACAUACUACGAGGGAGUUACUAGCCCAAGAUACAAAGGUGGAUGUGUGCGAAUCGAAAAAUAAUGACUGGAAGGAGAGCGUGUGGCGCGUCGGGUACUGUGCGGCGUCGGCGGCGUCUUCAUGAGUCAUGACUAUGACCCCACCGAUAUCCAUGUUUUGCCUCAUCCAUAGAUCAUCUUCCACCGAGGGCUGUACUCACCGAGCAACAAAGUAAACGCAGAUCGGCGAUCUCCGUGGUGGGAAGAAGCAAGCCUUCGAAGUCGAGUCUGGUCGGGAAGCGUGAGAAAUAAUGGCUCAUUUUCACAGGCCGUUUUCCAGAGCUUUCCGUUAAUCGGCUUUACAACAAGUGGCCACGCGACGAAAGGUCGCGUCUUUAACGCUAUUUUCCGUACGCGUUCGAAGCCUUCGGAACCGAGAGCCCGCCGAAGCAUCCCCGAAGCGUUCCUGCUUCUCCCAUUUCUGUUUCGUCUACAUAAAUAUAUUUUUACACUCUCAAAGUGUAAUAGCGUUUUAUAGUUGGGCUCCUCCGAAGAGCCGGGGGAACGGGCUUGGAGCAGGAGGAACGGGCACUUAAUCUCCCGAUUAAAUUAAACCACAGAGCGCGCGCGGAGUUAGUUAAGCAUUUAAUCAAACUGGUAAUUGGUGGUUGGUAGUGGCCCUAAUGGCUCACCGGGCGCCCCUUCUGCACCCCUCGGAGCCCAAGCCUUUUUUCGCGAAGCCUCCUCCGACAGAGAGAAAGAGCUAAGAUCUGUUCCACUGACUGAUGAAUGUGCCCGCCAUUGCUGUUUUAUACUUGUAUACGUCAUACCCCGAUGUAUAUCUGUACCGAGGUGAAUCGUUUGUAUAUAUAAAUAGCGAAGACACAUUGCUGGCUGGUAAUAACAUCAGGGAUGUGAGAGACCAAGGAACGAAGAAAAAAUCACCAAUUUCCAAGACGAGCUCUAGGCAUUCUUUUGUCCCUCCGUAUAUGUAUAUCAGACGCGUAUAUUUCUCUCGCUGAGUCCACGUACAAGAACCAACGCGAUCAUGAUCGUUUAAGUGCAUGGGAACGAGCCCCAAGAGACCCCCAGUGAAGCUGUUUACAUUUUACUUUGAGGAAAGAUAUUCACCAGAGAUUUCUGACGUACGCCUCCUGGCUCUGAUUAUCUCUGGUAAGGGUGUUCUUCAAAUCGCAAAAGGGUUCCUCGUCACGGGUGAGUGUUCCCGUAGAGCGGGAGAGGCGGGCGGGCCUAGGAGGGCUGGGGCUUCCGCUUGGGGUCGAGAGACGUCGACGCUGGCUGUAAUCCUCCUGGAAGACGAAAGAUAAACGGGAAUCGUGAGAGCAGUUCAAAUUCCAGGCUAUUUACUCAAAGAAUUGAAGAGCAUCGUCGUCCGCUUACGUUCCUACGAUUUCCAUAUACGAUUAGCUCCGCCGAAAGUUCCUUGAGCAGAGUAUUAAAAAAAGUGGAUCGUUGGAACAUACGAAAACGUGGGGAAGUAGAAAAGGCAAAGGCACGAUGGGCCGAGAGGGGCGCGGGGAGAGCGUGGCCACGUGGGUGGCGCAAUAUCACGGCAGAAAGAUCGGGCGUAGCCGGGGGGUAAGUUUUUGCAACCCUUUUCCUUGCCGGUAUUGCGACUCCUCCUCUGCUCGAAGCUGUAAGCUGGCUUUUUCUUAGUCCUCAUUCAUAAAGUCGGGUUCGCUUGUGCGACAAGGCAGAGUCUGCAGCAGUGUCGCAGAAAAGGGCAAAAAACGAUGGAUUAAAUUGAGGCGACUUUUGAUACGGGUUGUAAUAAGAGUACGAAGGAGAGAGGGGCUCGAUGUGGGUAUUCGCGCGUGGCAGCGGUUCGCUCUCUGUACAUCGAAGGAAAGGAGAACUAUGCGUAUAAGCGAUGCAGCAAACGGCGCAUAAACUCUCUCAAAUGACUCAGGAUGGAUAGUCCAUAUCGCGGAAUCAUCUGCAUAUAGUACGGGCUGGCCAGCAAGAGAACGAGAGAGAGAGAGAGAGAGAGAGAGAGAGAGAGAGAGAGAGAGAGAGAGAGAGAGAUAGAGGCAAAGGCCGCUUUUCUACGAGAGAGUUCUUCCAUCCAUACGAGCAACAAUAUCCUGUGUGUGCUUUCCAUAACGAGUCGCGCGCGCUACCUCGCUCAGUCUUUCUCUCGCAGAUGAGAGAGAGAGAGAGAGAGAGAGGGAGGAAGAAAAAAGAGGCACACGAUGCGCUGCCCGAGGGCAUUGUGACCCACGCACCCCCCUGCUCUUGCAGCAACGGAUCGUAUGCCCGUGCGCGGCCUUCCCGGUCAGGCUUCUCCGUCUUUUGCCAUCUUUCUUCGAGUCCUCUUACGUUUGCUUCGCCAGUCCUUGUCCUUCUCGCAACAUCCUCAGCAAUGUUCUCCCAUCUUUGUCCUCUGCGCUCUUGUGCACAGGAGAAAAUGCUGCGGAGAGAAAGAGAGGCUCCCUCGACGCCCUUCUUCCCUAUUCCUCUCGGCAGCGCCUCGCCCUACCUGCAUCACGACGGGGAAUGCGUUAUGCACGGCUACUCCCUCGCGCCGCUCUUUUAUGCACACGUAUACAUUCACCCUUCCUCCCUCUUUCUUUCGCUUGCUCUUUCUUCGCGUGGGCUUCCUCCGAGAUUGGUCUAGGUCGUGGUUUAACGCUACGGCUUACCGCGUGUGUUCCCUUACACCAGAGACCCUGCAGCAUCCUCUUCUUCCUCUUCUUCUUCCUCCUCAUCCUCCUCUUUCUCCUCUUUCUCCUCUUUUCAUUCUUCUUGUUUUACUGCUGGGUGUAUUAUAAGAUUAUGUAGGUAUACUGCGGAGAAGAAUGGCCGGACGAGACGUAUGAGAACUGAAUCAUAACGAUAGCCGCCUCAACGUACGUGUAUGGAACGGUUAUCCCUCAAGAUUAUUGCGCGAAUUCAAGAGUUUUUAUGUUCCCUCGGUCGAGUCGAUUUGGACUCGACUUUUUGUCUCUGUGGCUUUUUAUUCUCGUUUAUUUUUCGAUCGAAUGUAGCGGAAAAGCUUUUCGUAGAUAAGAUAACUGUAGAGCGAGAAAUGAAGAGCUGGCCCCGUGAACAGGAGGGUGUUGGCUUCAAUGAAAUGAUCAAGAAAUAUAGUCGUUCCUCUUGGCAAACGAUCGUAGAAAAUGUAUUUGUGUACAGAGUUAUGGGAGUCGGUUGUACGGGCGCGUGUGGGUUGGCUUGUCCACACGUGGGUAAAACCUGAGGCUCUUCUCAGGGAAAUGCGGGCCUUCCAUAACAUCGAACCAGUACUUCUUUCGCAUUAGUCUUUAUCGUCUCUUUCUCCAUUUUCAUGUCUCUCGGUCGCGCACUCGCUUUAGGGACGAGACGGGCGGCGUUGCCGCUGCUGGGCGCUGCGGUUGUGCAACUUCUAUUCGGACGUGUAGCACUCGGCGUGUAACUCGAGUCUUCGCUACCAUUAGCUGUAAUUCGCUGACAAUUUAUCACGGAUUCCGGGAGGAACGCGAGAAUGAUAUUACCAACAGCGUUAUGUUACCUCAACCCUAAGAAUCAUUAGGAAUCAUCAAUUUCUUGGAUGAGUUCCCGCGGAUGCGCAGACGCAACGAGGUUUUUCGUUAUCGUUGAUGUUUCUGCUCUGUUGGAAAGCAUCGUUUUAGAGAAGUGUCCCUUCCUCAGGUCAUUUCUCCGAGCUGCACAGGGGCCAGAUUUUAUUUAAGCGGAUUCUAACAAAACACGAACGUUUUGGAAAGAGACAGGAAAAAAGCCCACGUGCGUUUUCAGAUCCGCUGUUAACAAGAGUCCUUGAUAUCGUACAAUCAAUCGCGUAGUCGCAUGCACUCGCAAUACUGACACUAAAUAUCGCAGCACAGUGAAAAAAACAGACUCGGAAAAAGUACAGAAAUUAUGAUUACUGUCCGGCGGUCUGUAAAGAUCUGCGGCACAGUUGCGAGCGUUAUCAGAGAGGCAGAUAUAUUCCUUGGGUAUCGGAAAGAAUGGACGCGUAACUGUGUAAGCAGCGAGGCCAAACAGAACAUCGAAAGGGUGCAAAACGAUCGUCUAGAAAGCGAGGGGCAUCUGCGGAGCAGGAGCGGAGCAAGGAGCAGAAAAAGGGGGAGAGGGAGAGAGAGAAAAAGUGCAACGUUGCGGUAUGAGCGGUGGCGGCGUCGGUAGCGCAAGAAGAGGCCUCUUCAGCGACUGCGUCAAGAGCGGGGUUAUAGCUGUGUGCCGUAGGACGGGAUGCGGUUUGACCAGGAAUGCGCAUCUUGCCGAGAGAGAGAGAGAGAGAGAGAGAGCCAGAAGGAGAGAAAGAGAAAAGGAGAACGCGCGUGUAAAACGUCUUCCUGCGCUUCGGUUUCUCGUCCUCCAUAAGCUCUUUGAGCUCCUUUAGCACACGCCAACCUCUCGGCGAAUCUCGAUCUAGUUUCGCGGAGCAAAAGAAACGAGAAGAGAGGAGGAAAGGAGGAAGAAAGAAAAAGGAAGAGAGAGAGAGAGAGAGCGAGAAAGGGAUAUGAAAAGAUGAGAGAGGAUUCUUGGAUUGCGGGCACAGCUUUAACAUUCUCCAGUAGUUCGCUUCAAUUUCACAGGAUUCCACUCAUUCCAAUAAAAUCUCAUGUAUUAUGCAGCACUGGUAUAACUAUACUCUCGGUAACCAGAUUACCGGUGAUUUCUCGAUCCCUCGGAAACGGUCAUACCAGGGCCUAAAACCAAUAGUGAGAACUGCAAGCUCGGUGUAUCGAAUCUUCGCAAAAGUUCGUAUCGAAUUUCCCGAGAAGGCGUUUCGUGUCAGCGCUAAAUAGUUGGGGAUCUCACAAAAUCAGGUUUUAUAUUGAUCUUGGAUUCUCUUCCUGCGCACCAUUGGAGACAAAGAUUUUAUAUUUACGGGCCGUCCCAGAGUUCACGUACGGCUGCGGACUUCCCAGCCGGAAACUCCGCGUGUGCUUCGAAGAUCGCAGUAACUUCGAAGACGGAAAGCACGUCGUUAGUGCACAGCAAAAUGAAGUUCGAAGCCUGUCCAGCUUCUCCCUGGGCAUUGAUAUUGUGCUCUUACGGGAAGUUUCCCCCUGGAUUCGUCUCGGUACUUCAAAUCCCCGAUAGCCGGAGCUUCGCGCAUAAAUUCUAGCAUCCUGGCAGCAGGUCCUCGUUAUGCCCUCUUUCUUCUCAAUUGUUCGCUUCCUUUGCUCCUAGCCAAGGUCAUCGGCUUGCGGGCAGCGUGUUUAAAGAGAGCUUCUUCCGAUGUGCGGAGAAGAUGUGUCCAGAGAGGUCUCUCUAUUCCACUAGGUUGCUGCGGUCGAGCGAAGUUGGAGCGAGUGGAAAAGGAGCAACCGGAUGUGCAUUCAUGGUGUGUUAAAUCUGGCUGAAUCCUCGUAAGGAGAACGGACUUGGUGGAUAAAGUUAUCGGCGUAAAAAGUCGCUCGACAUCGUGGUUGGUUAUGCGCGAGGGAAUAUUUAUCCUUCCCGAUGAAACUCACCAAAAUAAUAUGAUGCAAGUUUGAAGAUGCACAUUUUAUAUUUCCACCUUAAUUGAUUUCCCCCAGCGAGAAGCUUCCGAUAUCAUCGACUCAUUUGCACAUUAAAUACUCCCAUAACCGAUGAGCCAUUUGUGCGAACGUUGAUGACAUUCGGAAAAAGACUCAGAACCGCGCGAUUGGUCUAGUCGCGCAUGAGAUUGAUAGAGACUCUUAACCUCGUUAUAAGUGAACCGGAGACGCGGCGUGUGUUUGCCCAGUCUCGACGUAAUCACAUGAAUAUCAACGGAAAUCUGGUUAUUACAGGCGAUAUAUGUUUUAAUACUACAUAUCAUAAAACAUAAAUACAUGUGUGAGCGUAUAUAUGUAUAAUAAAGCAUAAUAUGACCGAGUGAGAAAA
Molecule: long non-coding RNA, 6947 nt
Organism: Venturia canescens
Lineage: Eukaryota; Metazoa; Arthropoda; Insecta; Hymenoptera; Ichneumonidae
Exons: 6
Source: RefSeq, a predicted model, not a curated record